Long non-coding RNA from Sarcophilus harrisii (Tasmanian devil), 246 nucleotides. RefSeq lists it as uncharacterized. NCBI's taxonomy places the organism in Eukaryota, Metazoa, Chordata, Mammalia, Dasyuromorphia, Dasyuridae. The record is from RefSeq and is a predicted model, not a curated record. The transcript is spliced from 3 exons.
CUCCCCUUUCAUCAUAGAAUGGUUCAAAUCCACAAAGUCUACAGAGGAAAGAGAUAAGGGAACAAACAACUUUAUUAAAUAGUUAAGCAUAUUUUGCUCCUGAAGAAAUGCUCAUCCUUCUCUGCAGUGGUAUUUUCCUUAGGGUUGCUUCUAUUUGAACUUUAUCACUCAAGAUGAGAAGAAUGAAGUUUCAACACAAGUUCAAGAUAUGUUAUGGGCCAGAACUUGAAACCAGGUGUUGACUCA